RNAcentral lists this ribosomal RNA (200 nucleotides) under Salmonella enterica subsp. enterica serovar Oranienburg str. S-76. Its description in RNAcentral is "partial 16S ribosomal RNA". It matches the Rfam family "Bacterial small subunit ribosomal RNA", at positions 1 to 204 of the family's 1533-position model. Lineage: Bacteria; Pseudomonadati; Pseudomonadota; Gammaproteobacteria; Enterobacterales; Enterobacteriaceae. The record is from RNAcentral.
AAAUUGAAGAGUUUGAUCAUGGCUCAGAUUGAACGCUGGCGGCAGGCCUAACACAUGCAAGUCGAACGGUAACAGGAAGCAGCUUGCUGCUUUGCUGACGAGUGGCGGACGGGUGAGUAAUGUCUGGGAAACUGCCUGAUGGAGGGGGAUAACUACUGGAAACGGUGGCUAAUACCGCAUAAGUGGCUAAUACCGCAUAA